GAGCUUGCUCUUCUUGGAUGAGUUCUUAACGGGUGAGUAAAGCGUAGGUAUCCCGCCUUGUCGCGGGGGGAUAACUAUUGGAAAACGAUAGCUAAUACCGCAUAACAAUGGAUGACACAUGUCAUUUAUUUGAAAGGGGCAAUUGCUCCACUACAAGAUGGACCUGCGUUGUAUUAGCUAGUAGGUGAGGUAAUGGCUCACCUAGGCGACGAUACAUAGCCGACCUGAGAGGGUGAUCGGCCACACUGGGACUGAGACACGGCCCAGACUCCUACGGGAGGCAGCAGUAGGGAAUCUUCGGCAAUGGGGGCAACCCUGACCGAGCAACGCCGCGUGAGUGAAGAAGGUUUUCGGACCGUAAAGCUCUGUUGUAAGUCAAGAACGGGUGUGAGAGUGGAAAGUUCACACUGUGACGGUAGCUUACCAGAAAGGGACGGCUAACUACGUGCCAGCAGCCGCGGUAAUACGUAGGUCCCGAGCGUUGUCCGGAUUUAUUGGGCGUAAAGCGAGCGCAGGCGGUUUGAUAAGUCUGAAGUUAAAGGCUGUGGCUCAACCAUAGUUCGCUUUGGAAACUGUCAAACUUGAGUGCAGAAGGGGAGAGUGGAAUUCCAUGUGUAGCGGUGAAAUGCGUAGAUAUAUGGAGGAACACCGGUGGCGAAAGCGGCUCUCUGGUCUGUAACUGACGCUGAGGCUCGAAAGCGUGGGGAGCGAACAGG
Molecule: ribosomal RNA, 716 nt
Filed under: uncultured Streptococcus sp.
Lineage: Bacteria; Bacillati; Bacillota; Bacilli; Lactobacillales; Streptococcaceae
Description: bacterial SSU rRNA
Rfam family: Bacterial small subunit ribosomal RNA
Source: RNAcentral